RNAcentral lists this ribosomal RNA (2944 nucleotides) under bacterium. RNAcentral's name for it is "23S ribosomal RNA". It matches the Rfam family "Bacterial large subunit ribosomal RNA". The record is from RNAcentral.
CAGGAUGAUGAAUAAGGGCAAACGGUGGAUGCCUUGGCACAAAGAGACGAUGAAGGACGUAGCAGCCUGCGAUAAGCUUCGGAGAGGUGGCAAGCAACCUUUGAUCCGGAGAUUUCCGAAUGGGGAAACCCUCCUAAGUAAACCUUAGGAAGUAUUAUCUGAAUUCAUAGGAUAAUGCGGUGAACCUGGGGAAUUGAAACAUCUUAGUACCCAGAGGAAGAGAAAAUAAAUUGAUCGGAAGAUCAAGCAUUCCCUUAGUAGUGGCGAACGAACGGGGAACAGUCCAAACCUAGAGAGUUUAAAUCCUCGAGAUUUAAAUUUUUUAGGGGUUGUAGGAUGUAACUACCCUUUAAUGGGAGUUGAGAAGUUUUUUUCAUAGCAAAACAAGUUGGAAAUCUUGGCCAUAGAAGGUGAUAGCCCUGUAUGCGAAAUGAAUAAUCUCUCGACCGUUAUUUUCCUGAGUAGGAUGGAACACGUGAAAUUCCAUUUGAACCCGCCGGGACUAUCCGGUAAGACUAAAUACUCUUUGUGACCGAUAGCGUACCAGUACCGUGAGGGAAAGGUGAAAAGCACCCCGGUAAGGGGGAUGAAAUAGUAUCUGAAACCAUUUGCCUACAAGCAACGGAAGCUCAAGAUUCGUUCUGAGUAACCGUGUGCCUAUUGAAGAAUGAGCCAACGAGUUUAUGUAUAUUGCAUGUUUAAUCCCGAUAGGGAGGAGGCAAAGUGAAAGCAAGCCUUAACCGGCGCUUUGCAGUAUGUAUAAGACCCGAAGCCGAGUGAUCUAUCCAUGGCCAGGUUGAAGCCUUCCGAAGGGAAGGUGGAGGACCGAACCGACUAGUCGUGCAACGCUAGCGGAUGAGUUGUGGAUAGCGGAGAAAUUCCAAUCGAACUCGGCAAUAGCUGGUUCUCCUCGAAAUAGCUUUAGGGCUAGCCUUGUAAACUACCUCUCGGGGGUAGAGCACUGAAUGGGUUAGGGCGGUUCGCCGUACCUGACCUAACCAAACUCCGAAUACCGAGAGAGAUUAUUACAGGAGUCAGACUGUGGGGGCUAAGCUUCACUAGUCAAAAGGGAAACAGCCCAGACCGCCAUCUAAGGUCCCAAAAUUAUAGCUAAGUGGUGAAGGUGGUAUUAGAACUUAUACAACCAGGAGGUUGGCUUAGAAGCAGCCAUCCUUUAAAGAUAGCGUAAUAGCUCACUGGUCAAGUUCUUUUGCGCCGAAAAUGUAACGGGGCUAAGCUAUGUACCGAAGAUGCGGAUUGAAUAGUUUUUCGAAACUAUUCAGUGGUAGAGGAGCAUUCCUUAUGCUGUUGAAGCCGGACUCGCGAGAGUCGGUGGAGGUAUAGGAAGCGAGAAUGUUGGCAUGAGUAACACAAAUCUGCGUGAAAACCGUAGACACCGAAAACCCGAGGUUUCCUGGGCAACGUAAAUCGUCCCAGGGUUAGUCGGUCCUAAGGCGAGGCCGAAAGGCGUAGUCGAUGGGUAGCUGGUUAAUAUUCCAGCACUACUAUAUGGUUGUAUACCAUAACGGAUAUUGAAGUUUCGUGCGGUUUUUUGGCUAUAGCCGUUGCGAAAGUGAAAGCGUAAGCGAAAGAGAGCGUUCUUCGGAGUAAUCUCAAUGCGAAACAACAAUGUUCCUAGAAAAGUUGGCUAUGCGCUAACCAUAUAGUAUCCGUACCGCAAACCGACACAGGUGGGUGAGGAGAGAAUCCUCAGGUGUACGAGAGAACCUUUGUUAAGGAACUAGGCAAAACAGCGGCCGUACGUUUGCAAUAAGGCCCGCCCAAUUAGUUUCAAUUAAUUGGGCCGCAGCGAAUGACUUCAAGCGACUGUUUACCAAAAACUUAGGUCCCUGCUAAACCGAAAGGUGAUGUAUAGGGGCUGAUGCCUGGCCAGUGUCUGAACGUUAAGGUGAGGGGUGAAGCAUUUAUGUGGAAGCCUCAAUCUGAAGCGCAGAUGAACGCCGGCGGUAACUAUAACCGUCCUAAGGUAGCGAAAUUCCUUGUCGGGUAAGUUCCGACCUGCACGAAUGGCAUAACGACUUGAAGACUGUCUCAACAAAGGACUCGGUGAAAAUACAUAUACCGGUAAAGAUGCCGGUUACCUGCAGCAGGACGAAAAGACCCCGUGAAGCUUUACUACAGCUUGGCAUUGCUAUGAUUGUUCAUAUGUUCAGUAUAGGUGGGAGACUUUGAGCCCGUACCGUUAGGUUCGGGGGAGUCACCAAUGAGAUACCACCCUUUUGUACUAUUAUAGCUAACUUCUUACCAUGAAUCUGGUGGAAGAACAGUGUCUGGUGGGUAGUUUAACUGGGGCGGUUGCCUCCCAAAUUGUAACGGAGGCGUUUACAAAGGUUAGCUAGCUCUCGAUGGAAAUGGGAGUGAUAGUGUAAAGGCACAAGCUAGCUUUACUGCAAGACGUACAUGUCGCGCAGUUACGAAAGUAGAACUUAGUGAUCCGACCGUACGAAAUAGGACGGCGGAAGCUCAUCGGAUAAAAGUUACUCCGGGGAUAACAGGCUAGUCUGGUCCAAGAGCUCACAUCGACGACCAGGUUCGGCACCUCGAUGUCGGCUCGUCGCAUCCUGGGGGUGAAGAAGCUCCCAAGGGUUGGGCUGUUCGCCCAUUAAAGCGGCACGCGAGCUGGGUUCAGAACGUCGUGAGACAGUUCGGUCUCCUAUCCGCUGCAGGCGUUGAAUACUGAGAAGGCUAUUCCCUAGUACGAGAGGACCGGGAAGAACGAACCUCUGGUGCACCAGUUGUCCUGCCAAGGGCAUUGCUGGGUAGCUAUGUUCGGUUUGGAUAAGUGCUGAAAGCAUCUAAGCACGAAGCCGUCUUCAAGAUUAGUAUUCUUAGACUCCUCGUAGACGACGAGGUUGAUAGGCCACAGGUAUAAGUGUAGCAAUGCAUUAAGCCGAGUGGUACUAAUAAGUCGUUUCAUCCUGAC